GUAAGGAAUAUUGGUCAAUGGGCGGAAGCCUGAACCAGCCAUGCCGCGUGCAGGAUGACUGCCCUAUGGGUUGUAAACUGCUUUUGUCCAGGAAUAAACCUCUUUACGAGUAGAGAGCUGAAUGUACUGGAAGAAUAAGGAUCGGCUAACUCCGUGCCAGCAGCCGCGGUAAUACGGAGGAUCCGAGCGUUAUCCGGAUUUAUUGGGUUUAAAGGGUGCGUAGGCGGCCUAUUAAGUCAGGGGUGAAAUACGGUGGCUCAACCAUCGCAGUGCCUUUGAUACUGAUGGGCUUGAAUCCAUUUGAAGUGGGCGGAAUAAGACAAGUAGCGGUGAAAUGCAUAGAUAUGUCUUAGAACUCCGAUUGCGAAGGCAGCUCACUAAGCUGGUAUUGACGCUGAUGCACGAAAGCGUGGGGAUCGAACAGGAUUAGAAACCCUAGUAGUCC
This 445-nucleotide ribosomal RNA is filed under the name uncultured bacterium. RNAcentral's name for it is "bacterial SSU rRNA". It matches the Rfam family "Bacterial small subunit ribosomal RNA", at positions 354 to 796 of the family's 1533-position model. The record is from RNAcentral.